Mobula hypostoma (lesser devil ray) is the source of this 127-nucleotide small nuclear RNA. NCBI's taxonomy places the organism in Eukaryota, Metazoa, Chordata, Chondrichthyes, Myliobatiformes, Myliobatidae. The record is from RefSeq and is a predicted model, not a curated record.
CAGUUGUAUGAAAAGUGAGAAGAUUAGUACUCCUUUCAUAAAAGGAUGGAAGGGGUCCUGACGACCUGACAACACACAAAUGGUUAAAGCUUUGUCAUCUUCUUAGUGGCAUCUAACCAUGUUUUCU